This 74-nucleotide transfer RNA is filed under the name Staphylothermus marinus. RNAcentral describes it as "tRNA-Ala". It matches the Rfam family "tRNA". Rfam says of the family: Transfer RNA (tRNA) molecules are approximately 80 nucleotides in length. RNAcentral also lists the same sequence under 1 other name. The record is from RNAcentral. Lineage: Archaea; Thermoproteati; Thermoproteota; Thermoprotei; Desulfurococcales; Desulfurococcaceae.
GGGCCGGUAGCUCAGCCUGGAAGAGCGUCGGCCUUGCAAGCCGAAGGUCCCGGGUUCAAGUCCCGGCCGGUCCA